UACAAACUACAAACUCUAAUUAUUUUCAAAUUUCACCCGUCGAUUGAUAAAUUUGAUUGAUUAGAUUGAUAAUGGACUUUUAAAAACUGUUUCAGCAUAGAACUUGGCUUCAGGUAUCAAGGUUUCUUUGACACUUUGGAGAAUAGUUUUGACCAACAGCAAAAUAAAUUAAAAAAUGUGCAGAGCCUCUGGUUUUUAUGUAAUUGGCACCUCAGCUGAACACAUUGAAGGAAACAGGGCAUACAGCAUUGCCAGUCAUUGCCUACUAGUCGGAGGAACAUUGGAUGAAACAGCCUCAACAAAUGACUUCAUCCGCACUUCACUACAUGACGACUCCAAUGUACUCUUUGCUUGUAACCUGGCUUCAAGCAUCGAGACUUUUAUGGCUCAGGUGUUGCUGGGAGGAUGUUACCUCUUUGAGACACCCCAACAGAUUUUCUAAUGGAAGAGAGGAAUCAUGAAGGGGAGGAAACAUUGGUAAAAUAAUGCAAAUUUUGCAUUUCUGGAACUGAACUUUAUAGAUGUACCAGAAUUUUUUUGCAGGAAAGUUCAGUCUGUUCUGCAGAUACUCUCACCAGUCCAGAAGCGCUUUAAAUGAAGAUCGUGAUCCAUCCACCUACGUAAAAUCAUCAGCAUCGUAUACCACUAUAAAGGCUCAGCUUCAUCAGAUAUGAGUGCAAUGGAAAAAGGACGCCACUCGAAGAGAAUGUACAACAGCAAGAGCUAACAAGAGAAUACACAUCUGGCAGUUAGCUUAAUACUAUCAUAAUUCUAACAGAACAUGAUUGGACGACGGCAGCACUGGAUUCUGGAGUAUAUAAUCUCUAUAUGACAAACCAAGUCACCUGCAUCAACAACAGGCUACAUCAUGUGCUUCAGGGAGUUCCUACGCUUCUGCAUUAGGUUGCCUGGGAGAAGAUCCGUACUUUCAAGUUCGAAAGAACAGUAUUCGCGAAAAGAACAGCCUGCAAGCCAACUAGAGAGCCAGACUGCCAAAGAACAGACUCCCGACAGACACAGACACCCGAAGCCAAAACAGUCUAUGAGCCUACGCAGAUCAUAGGCAAUCUUUUUCAUUUCUUGAAUUAGAUAUAUUGGUAGAAUUAAUUACUGCGGGUGCAGGAUUCUUUAAAUCAAAGGUUCAGUCUGAUGUUGUGACACUGAAUGAGUCUAAAAUAAGUGGUGACCAGAUUGGCGUCUAUAUUGCCCAAUCGUUUAUUUGUGUCAAAAUUCUUUGGGCUAUUUCUCUAAGGAAAAAGGAAAGAAGAUGCCCUGGCUGUCGAACUUCGGGGAUGUUCAACUUGCCAUCGUAGAAAAAGUUUCUGGCACUUAAAAUCAACUCUCCAGCCAGCCUAUCAAUAUUGAAUAUUAUGCACACCUUCAUGUUGAACGAUCUUGUUGUACUGUAUUCUUGGGUUGGACACAGACAAAAAAUGAGUCUCUCUACCAACUUCACCGCAGUUGUUAACUUGUUGCAUGAUUCAGAUAUUGUCUGUCUUGAAGUCAGUGCCAGUUGCAACAGAUAAAUCAAUAAGUGACACAGCGAGAAUUCGACUGAUCAAAGUGAAAGAUCAGUUGGAAAAUGCCGCAAAGAAAAGAAGUUGAGAACAAAGAAUGACUUAUUUUCAGUAGAAGGAGAAAAGAAAAAGAAUGAAGAACAAGAUGAAGAAGACUUCCUGCAGGAGAACAGUCAAGCAUCUCGUGACAACAAGGACUUUCAAUGGAUAAUCUAAAUUUUCGUAACGUUGAUGUAAUUUUUCAUUGCUGAAAGAUUUUUCAACUGGUUUUACUAAAAUUGUCUUGGUUGUUAUUUUAUGUUUAUUGAGAUUAUAUAUUAUAUUUAUAAUAUA
Non-coding RNA from Bemisia tabaci, 1850 nucleotides. The record is from RefSeq and is a predicted model, not a curated record. NCBI's taxonomy places the organism in Eukaryota, Metazoa, Arthropoda, Insecta, Hemiptera, Aleyrodidae.